UACGUAGGGGGCAAGCGUUAUCCGGAUUUACUGGGUGUAAAGGGAGCGUAGACGGAUUAGCAAGUCUGAUGCGAAAGGCAGGGGCUCAACCUCUGGACUGCAUUGGAAACUGCCAGUCUUGAGUGCCGGAGAGGUAAGCGGAAUUCCUAGUGUAGCGGUGAAAUGCGUAGAUAUUAGGAGGAACACCAGUGGCGAAGGCGGCUUACUGGACGGCAACUGACGUUGAGGCUCGAAAGCGUGGGGAGCAAACAGG
Molecule: ribosomal RNA, 253 nt
Filed under: Blautia schinkii
Lineage: Bacteria; Bacillati; Bacillota; Clostridia; Lachnospirales; Lachnospiraceae
Description: partial 16S ribosomal RNA
Rfam family: Bacterial small subunit ribosomal RNA
Source: RNAcentral